This 406-nucleotide ribosomal RNA is filed under the name uncultured bacterium. Its description in RNAcentral is "partial 16S ribosomal RNA". It matches the Rfam family "Bacterial small subunit ribosomal RNA", at positions 28 to 526 of the family's 1533-position model. The record is from RNAcentral.
GACGAACGCUGGCGGCGUGCCUAAUACAUGCAAGUCGAACGAGUGGCGGACGGGUGAGUAACACGUGGGAACCUACCCAUCAGAGGGGGAUAACUACUGGAAACGGUAGCUAAUACCGCAUACCAUCAGAUUAACCCAUAUGGGAUUAGCUUGUAGGUGAGGUAACGGCUCACCUAGGCGACGAUCCCUAGCUGGUCUGAGAGGAUGACCAGCCACACUGGAACUGAGACACGGUCCAGACUCCUACGGGAGGCAGCAGUGGGGAAUAUUGCACAAUGGGCGCAAGCCUGAUGCAGCCAUGCCGCGUGUAUGAAGAAGGCCUUCGGGUUGUAAAGUACUUUCAGCGGGGAGGCGUUACCCGCAGAAGAAGCACCGGCUAACUCCGUGCCAGCAGCCGCGGUAAUAC